GAUGAAGAACGUAGCGAAAUGCGAUAAGUAGUGUGAAUUGCAGAAUUCAGUGAAUCAUCGAAUCUUUGAACGCACAUUGCGCCCUUUGGUAUUCCUUAGGGCAUGCCUGUUCGAGCGUCAUAUAACUACUCAAGCCCAGCUUGGUUAUGGGUGCCUGUCCCGCCCCGCGCGUGGACUCACCUCAAAUCCAUUGGCGGCCCCCCGCCGGCCACGAGCGCAGCAGAAACGCGGUCUCGUGCCCCGGCAGGGCGGCUCCCAGAAGCAAACCCCCCCCAUGUUUGACCUCGGAUCAGGUAGGGAUACCCGCUGAACUUAAGCAUAUCAAUAAGCGGAGGA
RNAcentral lists this unclassified non-coding RNA (336 nucleotides) under soil metagenome. RNAcentral's name for it is "partial contains 5.8S ribosomal RNA, internal transcribed spacer 2, and large subunit ribosomal RNA". The stretch from base 1 to 120 matches the Rfam family "5.8S ribosomal RNA", at positions 35 to 154 of the family's 154-position model. The record is from RNAcentral.